AAGAUUUUAGUUUAAAUCUAAAACAUUAAAAUUUCAAUUUAAAAUUAAUAAAACUUUAUUAAAUCUUA
Molecule: transfer RNA, 68 nt
Filed under: Cephalonomia gallicola
Lineage: Eukaryota; Metazoa; Arthropoda; Insecta; Hymenoptera; Bethylidae
Description: tRNA-Glu
Source: RNAcentral